This is a non-coding RNA of Sus scrofa (pig), 2526 nucleotides long. NCBI's taxonomy places the organism in Eukaryota, Metazoa, Chordata, Mammalia, Artiodactyla, Suidae. The record is from RefSeq and is a predicted model, not a curated record.
UUAACCCAGUAAUCGAGGCCAGGUAUCCAAGCACAGUCCUCAUGGAUACUAGUUGGGUUUGUUACCUGAGUCAAGGGGCCAGUGGCAACACUCCAGUCUUUAGUUCAUUUUGAGUGUAUUUUCUUGUACAGUGUAAGAGAAGGGUCCAAUUUUAUUUGUGUGUGUGUGUAUAGUUUUCUCAAACCUAUAUUUUGAGGAUACUACCAUUUCCCCAUUGGGAAGUCUUGUCUAAAAUUUAGAUGAUUUAAAAAAAAAAAAUCUACUGGCAGGCAGGUGGGUCUCGGAUGAGAAACAUCCGGGAGCUAUGGCCCCUUCUCCUCCCAGAUUCAUGUAUAAGGAGUUUAGUUCACAUCAGCUAUCACAAAAUAUAUCCUGUGGCUGGGCUUCCCUAUGCUCCCCACCCCAUACCAGUCAGAGUUACAGGAUACCACCCCCGGCCCCCUAGCUCUGGGCAGUCAGUGGGAAAGCGCACAGGGGCUCAAACAGCGUAAGCAGGAAAGCCGGAAGCGAGAACUAAGGAGUGAAUUGCGCAUGCGCAGGCCGUAACUCUCUUGCCCUCCAGGGAGGGACCCAAAAGGCUUGGUGUAGCGCUGCUGCUUCUGGCCGGGUCACCUAGGGCUGCUGUCCUAAGUCUGUCAAGGUCAAGGCUGCUGCAACUAGAUGAGCCUUACGGCUAUCCUAAAGUCAGCUUUUUUUUUUUUUUUUUUUUUUUUUUCCUUUUUUUCUGCUCGGAGCUUUUAGGUAUCUAAAAUUCGUACCAGGAGACCAACUCUGCCUAUCCCUCAAAUAUUUGCCUUUAAGGGCAGCGUCUGUGCAGCGUUACUCUCAGUUUCUGACCCAACCCAUCUAGCGGCAGUCUAGGGAAGCUGGCUGCUCUAUCCAGUCUCCUCCCUCAGGAACUAUUUUCAUCUUUGAACACCCUCAGGGAUGCUCACAGCAGGGGCUGGGAGCCUGGUCCAGGAAGAAGCAGGGAACUCUGGGUUUCCUCCCUGUUUGUGCUGCAGAGUGAGCGCCAAGGGGAAGGACUGGAUGCAUUGGCAGCCUGAGGAGACAUUGUGUCGUCUGGGUUGAAGGUGCUGAUUCCUAAAUAACAUCUUUCAUCCUGAACUUCAUCUCAACAUCUGCCCCUGGAGUGGUUAACUUAUGACAGUCCUAACUUACUUAUUCCUGUAUCCCUCCAUCCUGUGUGCCUGAUUAAGCCUCACCCAGAUAAACCCACUGAGUUGCAGCUGCAACCUAUGCCAGAUCCUUUAACCUACUGUGCUAGGCUGGGGAUCAAACCUGCAUCUCUACAGUGACCUGAGCUGCCGCAGUUGGAAUCUUAACCCACUGGGCCACAGCAGAAACUCCCUAUGUUCUUUUGCCCUUGAUCUCAUUCAGUCUUGCCUUCUUAUGGACUUUGUGUUUGCACUGUUACUCUCUUUCUCUGGCAACUUUAGUUUUUCUCUGUUUGCUUGUUGAUUCUCACGCAGACUAGUAUAGCUAGGGACAGUUCAUAGUAGAGACUGAAAUGAUAAACUCUAAAGACAGACUGCCUUGGUUUAAACACUGGCUCCAGUCUUCAGUAGGUGAAGCACAUUUCCUCUGUCUCUCUCUGUCUUACUCCCCUCAUGUAGCAACUGGGGAUUGUAUUUAGUAUUUCUCUUAUAGGGAUUUUGUGAAGUUUUGUAAGUAAAAAUCAGGGAAUGCGUUUAGAAGAGCACCUGGCACAUAAUAAUCACACAGUAAAUAGUAGGAACUGAUAGUGUUUAUAUCUUCCAUCUCACCUAUCAUGCAAGCCACCCCCCAAAUCUCUUUGGAUAGAUCUUCUUCUAGAUCUUACUCCAUUUCUCUGACCUCCUUCAACAUCAGAAUUGAUAGGUUUUUCAUAUUUCCAUCUCCUAUGUCCCAUUUUCUCCUCAUUGCACUCUGGUGUGGCUCCCUUCCCUGCCUCUCCAUUUCCCACUCCUCGCCAAGUCAUCUGUGAAAAGCCACAGAUCCAUGCCCAAAUCCAAUGGUAUUUUUCUACUGCUUUAUACAGAUCUCUCAGCAUGUUUUGACAUAGUGAUGAUAAAAUCUUCUCCAAAAACAGUCCAACAUGGUUAUUUUAUUACCAUGAUUUCAUUACUGUGAUCCCACCACUUCCUGGUUUUCCAGGCACCUUUCAGAGAGCACUUCUCUGAUUUCUUUGCAACUCCUUCUAUGUUAACCUUUAACUAUUGGUUUUCCUCUUAGCACUAGGUUCUUCGACUUUUCCUCAGUUAUACUGCUCUUUUCUAGGUGAUCUCAUCUGUCCCUGUGGUCUUAACUGUCAUUAAAUUAAAUUAAAAAUUUCCUGCUGUGGCCUGUCUACUUAAUUACAAGUAUAUGUGUCCAAUGACUUACUUGUUAUCCCCACUGGGAUGAAAAACUCUUGAUUUUCCUUUCCACUUAGACUUGUUUCUCCUCUAGUCAUCUCCAUUUAGCAAAUGGUAACAUCUAGUUUCAAGCACCAAUCAAGAGAAUUGUAUUGAUUCUUUCUUUUUUAAAAAAAGAAAAUAUUGGCAC